This 238-nucleotide ribosomal RNA is filed under the name uncultured bacterium. RNAcentral's name for it is "partial 16S ribosomal RNA". It matches the Rfam family "Bacterial small subunit ribosomal RNA", at positions 118 to 351 of the family's 1533-position model. The record is from RNAcentral.
UGAGCAAUCUGCCCUUCUCUUCGGAAUAAGCGUUGGAAACGACGUCUAAUGCCGAAUACGACCUCCUUUCGCAUGAUCGGAGGUGGAAAGCUCCGGCGGAGAAGGAUGAGCUCGCGGCCUAUCAGCUAGUUGGUGUGGGUAAUGGCCCACCAAGGCGACGACGGGUAGCCGGCCUGAGGAGGGUGACCCGGCCACACGUGGGACUGAGACACGGCCCAGACCUCCGUACGGGGAGNAG